GGGGGAAUAUUGCACAAUGGGCGCAAGCCUGAUGCAGCCAUGCCGCGUGUAUGAAGAAGGCCUUCGGGUUGUAAAGUACUUUCAGCGGGGAGGAAGGCGAUAAGGUUAAUAACCUUGUCGAUUGACGUUACCCGCAGAAGAAGCACCGGCUAACUCCGUGCCAGCAGCCGCGGAAAUACGGAGGGUGCAGGCGUUAAUCGGAAUUACUGGGCGUAAAGCGCACGCAGGCGGUCUGUCAAGUCGGAUGUGAAAUCCCCGGGCUCAACCUGGGAACUGCAUUCGAAACUGGCAGGCUAGAGUCUUGUAGAGGGGGGUAGAAUUCCAGGUGUAGCGGUGAAAUGCGUAGAGAUCUGGAGGAAUACCGGUGGCGAAGGCGGCCCCCUGGACAAAGACUGACGCUCAGGUGCGAAAGCGUGGGGAGCAAACA
Molecule: ribosomal RNA, 427 nt
Filed under: uncultured bacterium
Lineage: Bacteria
Description: partial 16S ribosomal RNA
Rfam family: Bacterial small subunit ribosomal RNA
Source: RNAcentral